This 238-nucleotide long non-coding RNA is filed under the name Panax ginseng (ginseng). Its description in RNAcentral is "long non-coding RNA (PGIN_LNC018125)". Lineage: Eukaryota; Viridiplantae; Streptophyta; Magnoliopsida; Apiales; Araliaceae. The record is from RNAcentral.
UUCGCGUCCCAAGGUUCCGUAACCAUUACUACAACAAUCCAGUGAUUAAACUUAAAAAUAAUUAAUCAUCCUUAAUACAUCAUAAUACGCAUAGAAAUAAUAAUACUACUACUCUUAAAGGACUAAGCUACUUUGUAGCCUUGCCCUUCCCCUUGUCCUUUCCUGAGGUACCGCCUUGCUCUGCCUUAACUGUAAUGUUUUUAGGGAAGCAAGAAUAAGCAACAAGUUUGCCCAGCAA